Molecule: ribosomal RNA, 468 nt
Filed under: uncultured bacterium
Lineage: Bacteria
Description: partial 16S ribosomal RNA
Rfam family: Bacterial small subunit ribosomal RNA
Source: RNAcentral
GACGAACGCUGGCGGCGUGCUUAACACAUGCAAGUCGAACGGAAAGGCCCUGCUUUUGUGGGGUGCUCGAGUGGCGAACGGGUGAGUAACACGUGAGUAACCUGCCCUUGACUUUGGGAUAACUUCAGGAAACUGGGGCUAAUACCGGAUAGGAGCUCCUGCUGCAUGGUGGGGGUUGGAAAGUUUCGGCGGUUGGGGAUGGACUCGCGGCUUAUCAGCUUGUUGGUGGGGUAGUGGCUUACCAAGGCUUUGACGGGUAGCCGGCCUGAGAGGGUGACCGGCCACAAGGGGACUGAGGUACGGCCCAGACGCCUACGGGAGGCAGCAGUGGGGAAUAUUGCACAAUGGGCGGAAGCCUGAUGCAGCAACGCCGCGUGCGGGAUAACGGCCUUCGGGUUGUAAACCGCUUUCGCCUGUGACGAAGCGUGAGUGACGGUAAUGGGUAAAGAAGCACCGGCUAACUACGUG